CUCUUACUUUGGAAGGAGAAAGGAUACAAAAUGGAGAGGAUUCACACAUUUUUUUUCAGUAAUGAAAAGGUAGCUUCUUAAUUUCUUUAAAUAAUUCAUCUAAUUUUCAUUUCAGCGGACUGGUGGGUGGCAAGAAAAAUAGCCUAUAUUUUAGUAAUUUUAUAAACUCAGUCUGUUUCAACAAUUUAAACCCUUCCUUGAAGUGAAUGUGGCAGUGAAUCUUCAGUACCAACUUGAAUGCAUCGAGAGACUCCUGCUGCGGUGACUGGGCAUGGAGGUGACACCCUCGUGAGUAGAUCGGGUCACUGAGCGCACAGCGAAAUGUGCCAUUAGGAAGUGGGGCCCCGUUGGGAGAAGUGGGUGGAGAACAGAGCUCUCUCUGGUGCUCUCCUCUGGGCUCUGCUUCCCAUCUGCCAAGAAGCAAGAAGUUUUGCUCCAACACGCUCAUCUGCCAUGAUGUUCCUCUGCCUCCCCUCAGACCCACAGCAAUGGAGCAAGCUGACCGUGGGCGGAAACCUCUGAAACUGUGAGCCAAAGAAACCAUUUCAUUGGAUGUGCCAGGCAUUUUGUCCCGGCGACAGGAAAGCUGACCAAUGUAGCAUCUUAAUCCCUUUAGGUUCCUGUUUCAUUUGUCAUUUUGACCAUCUCUACAGACCUGGAUCACUUGCCUAUGUGAGAUAUCUGGAGCAGCAAAAGAGACUUUGCACCCAACGUGGGAGGUGGCACUGUUCCCCAGAGAGAAACAGAGCCCUGUAGUCACCUGAGCAGCUGAUUGGGCUCAUCCGAAUAGAGGCGAGAACAUCUGUAGCACCUAGGAG
This 818-nucleotide long non-coding RNA is filed under the name Fukomys damarensis (Damara mole-rat). RNAcentral's name for it is "lncRNA (ENSFDAG00000031343.1)". The record is from RNAcentral. Lineage: Eukaryota; Metazoa; Chordata; Mammalia; Rodentia; Bathyergidae.